This 795-nucleotide long non-coding RNA is filed under the name Gossypium barbadense (sea-island cotton). Its description in RNAcentral is "long non-coding RNA (GBAR_LNC010016)". Lineage: Eukaryota; Viridiplantae; Streptophyta; Magnoliopsida; Malvales; Malvaceae. The record is from RNAcentral.
GUCAUUUCAUUUCCUUAUGUGGAAGUACAAAAUAUGUAUAUUUUUCACUUGACAAAAAGAGAGAGAUUUCAUUUGAAGAAACAGAAUGACUAAAAAGCUUCAACGGGGUUCUACAUGGCUUUAAGCCUAGUUUUAAUAGUUUUGUCACAAAUCAGGGGUAGAGCUUAUCCCGAGGAAACUUUUUAAGUGAUAACUUUGCAAUUCAACCUAAUGAGGUCCCAGGUGGCUGGAAGAAGAAAUUUUCUACCAUUAGCACUAUAUGCAUUAUAACUAGCUUUGCUCAUUUUAUCCACCAACAAAGCUCCAGGAUACCCUGGAUAAGCUCCAGUGCCAAAUAUUCCAGGACAAGCUGUGACAGCCUCCAAUGGUGCCAACGCGUCCCCUUGAAAAUAACCGGUCUUGAAGGGGUUAGUGGUAGCCCCUGCAAGUAGGGUGGCUAUGUUUAUGAUCAUGCCAUCGGUUCCAAUUCCAUUAGGUGCCACCAAGGCUGGGCCUGGAGGACCAUAAGCCGGCAGAGCAUAAGGCCAAGCACAAAGACCAGGGCAUUGGACUGUAGGGUCUCCCACGUGUGCGAAAACCACUCGAGUUGAUCCCCCUACUAAUAUGCUGUCAUGGAAACCGCAUGAUGCCAUGCAGAACCGCUCUACUGUAACAUCUUUAGCAGUCAAAACCAAGUAAAUUCCAUUAGGGUCUAAUGGAAAGAUUUUGCUCUCUAUCUUGCUUUUCAUCAAGUUGGCUAAUUGGGCGCGCUUCAGGGUUUUCCCCGAAGAAUAUACAUCACCAACUUGUUUGACA